This 528-nucleotide ribosomal RNA is filed under the name uncultured bacterium. RNAcentral describes it as "partial 16S ribosomal RNA". It matches the Rfam family "Bacterial small subunit ribosomal RNA", at positions 355 to 900 of the family's 1533-position model. The record is from RNAcentral.
UGGGGAAUAUUGGACAAUGGGGGCAACCCUGAUCCAGCAAUGCCGCGUGUGUGAAGAAGGUCUUCGGAUUGUAAAGCACUUUCGACGGGGACGAUGAUGACGGUACCCGUAGAAGAAGCCCCGGCUAACUUCGUGCCAGCAGCCGCGGUAAUACGAAGGGGGCUAGCGUUGCUCGGAAUGACUGGGCGUAAAGGGCGUGUAGGCGGUUUACACAGUUAGAUGUGAAAUCCCCGGGCUUAACCUGGGAGCUGCAUUUGAUACGUGUAGACUAGAGUGUGAGAGAGGGUUGUGGAAUUCCCAGUGUAGAGGUGAAAUUCGUAGAUAUUGGGAAGAACACCGGUGGCGAAGGCGGCAACCUGGCUCAUGACUGACGCUGAGGCGCGAAAGCGUGGGGAGCAAACAGGAUUAGAUACCCUGGUAGUCCACGCUGUAAACGAUGUGUGCUAGAUGUUGGGUAACUUUGUUAUUCAGUGUCGCAGUUAACGCGUUAAGCACACCGCCUGGGGAGUACGGCCGCAAGGUUGAAAC